Molecule: transfer RNA, 70 nt
Filed under: Blepsias cirrhosus (silverspotted sculpin)
Lineage: Eukaryota; Metazoa; Chordata; Actinopteri; Perciformes; Agonidae
Description: tRNA-His
Rfam family: tRNA
About the family: Transfer RNA (tRNA) molecules are approximately 80 nucleotides in length. Their secondary structure includes four short double-helical elements and three loops (D, anti-codon, and T loops).
Source: RNAcentral
GUAGAUAUAGUUUUAACCAAAAUAUCAGAUUGUGAUUCUAAAGACAGGGGUUAAAAUCCCCUUAUCCACC